GAUGAACGCUGGCGGCGUGCUUAACACAUGCAAGUCGAGCGAGUGAGUUCUUUGGAACGAUCUAGCGGCGGACGGGUGAGUAACACGUGGGCAACCUGCCUCAUAGAGGGGAAUAGCCUCCCGAAAGGGAGAUUAAUACCGCAUAAAAUUAUCGAGUGGCAUCACAUGAUAAUCAAAGGAGCAAUCCGCUAUGAGAUGGGCCCGCGGCGCAUUAGCUAGUUGGUGAGGUAACGGCUCACCAAGGCGACGAUGCGUAGCCGACCUGAGAGGGUGAUCGGCCACAUUGGGACUGAGACACGGCCCAGACUCCUACGGGAGGCAGCAGUGGGGAAUAUUGCACAAUGGGGGAAACCCUGAUGCAGCAACGCCGCGUGAGUGAUGAAGGUCUUCGGAUUGUAAAGCUCUGUCUUUGGGGACGAUAAUGACGGUACCCAAGGAGGAAGCCACGGCUAACUACGUGCCAGCCGCCGCGGUAA
RNAcentral lists this ribosomal RNA (476 nucleotides) under uncultured bacterium. RNAcentral's name for it is "partial 16S ribosomal RNA". It matches the Rfam family "Bacterial small subunit ribosomal RNA", at positions 28 to 523 of the family's 1533-position model. The record is from RNAcentral.